UGGGGAAUAUUGCACAAUGGGGGAAACCCUGAUGCAGCGACGCCGCGUGAACGAAGAAGGUAUUCGUAUCGUAAAGUUCUGUCCUAUGGGAAGAUAAUGACAGUACCAUAGAAGAAAGCUCCGGCUAAAUACGUGCCAGCAGCCGCGGUAAUACGUAUGGAGCGAGCGUUGUCCGGAAUUAUUGGGCGUAAAGGGUACGCAGGCGGUUUAAUAAGUCGAAUGUUAAAGAUCGGGGCUCAACCCCGUAAAGCAUUGGAAACUGAUAAACUUGAGUGGUGGAGAGGAAGGUGGAAUUCCUAGUGUAGUGGUGAAAUACGUAGAUAUUAGGAAGAAUACCAGUAGCGAAGGCGACUUUCUGGACACAAACUGACGCUGAGGUACGAAAGCGUGGGGAGCAAACAGG
RNAcentral lists this ribosomal RNA (403 nucleotides) under Actinomycetes bacterium. RNAcentral's name for it is "Actinobacteria bacterium partial 16S ribosomal RNA". It matches the Rfam family "Bacterial small subunit ribosomal RNA", at positions 355 to 776 of the family's 1533-position model. The record is from RNAcentral. Lineage: Bacteria; Bacillati; Actinomycetota; Actinomycetes.